Musa acuminata subsp. malaccensis (wild Malaysian banana) is the source of this 827-nucleotide non-coding RNA. Lineage: Eukaryota; Viridiplantae; Streptophyta; Magnoliopsida; Zingiberales; Musaceae. The record is from RefSeq and is a predicted model, not a curated record.
UAAAGCAUAUUAGAAAAGUUUAUAUUUCAUUUUCUUGCAGUUGAUUCUAAAAAUAGUGCAUUGUUAGGUGGAUAUAAGAAGUAUGCUUAAUCUAAUAAUGUGUCAUAUUUUGUGUAAUUUGAAAUAUUGGUUUAUUCUUUAUUUUAACAUGUAAAGCAUAUUAGAAAAGUUUAUAUUUCAUUUUAUUGUUCCUCUUGCAGUUGAUUUUAAAAAGUGUAUCAUAACCUAAUAUGCGUACUAAGGCAUGCUAUUUUUUGCUCAUUGUGAGCUAUGAGGAAGAGUGGUUGAAGACCAACAGUUUACAAGUGAAUGGUAGGUUUUAUUUGCAGAUGUUAGGUGAGGUCUACUCCCUGCUCGAUGGCUUUAUAAACCCAGUCCAUCUUGAAAUAAAGCCAUGAGUUAUUCAUUGUCCCGCGGGUUUGCAUUCUUACCAUUUGGUCGUAGUUUGUAAGAAGGAUUGAUCACAUGGGACCUGGUGGACCCCCUGGCCCAGGCCCAGGCCCAGGUUGGGGUCCUGGACCUGGGGGCCCUGGGCCUUGCGGGCCUUGCUGCGAUUUACUCUCUUCAUGUUUUUACUUCCUCUGCUGCUGCUGCUUGCUUCGGGACUGCUGUGGCCCGCUAUUUGGGCGACCUCCUGGCCCUCCCGGACCACCUGGACCGCCCUUUUAACAUGCAGUUGGACUAAAUGGAGUCCUAAUAAUAAUGGGGGGUAUCAGUAAACGGCUCCUCGGAAUCAGUCCGUGUUUUUGUGUACUAAAAUGAUCCUUUCACGCCAGUAUAUUAUUGCUUCUGUUGCUUGGUAAUGGAGGUUGAUGAGUUCUUGUCGA